CGAUCAAAACACCGGUUCUCGUUCGAUCACCGAAGUUAAGCAUUAAGCAUCGUAGAUGGGGAGCCAGGUCCAGUAGUUCUUAGAUGGGGGACCGCUUGGGAACACCUGGUACUGUAAGC
Molecule: non-coding RNA, 119 nt
Organism: Acanthosepion pharaonis
Lineage: Eukaryota; Metazoa; Mollusca; Cephalopoda; Sepiida; Sepiidae
Source: the annotation of a GenBank genome assembly